Molecule: ribosomal RNA, 406 nt
Filed under: uncultured bacterium
Lineage: Bacteria
Description: partial 16S ribosomal RNA
Rfam family: Bacterial small subunit ribosomal RNA
Source: RNAcentral
AUUGAACGCUGGCGGCAGGCCUAACACAUGCAAGUCGAACGAGUGGCGGACGGGUGAGUAAUGUCUGGGAAACUGCCCGAUGGAGGGGGUUAACUACUGGAAACGGUAGCUAAUACCGCAUACCAUCGGAUGUGCCCAGAUGGGCUUUGCUCGUAGGUGGGGUAACGGCUCACCUAGGCGACGAUCCCUAGCUGGUCUGAGAGGAUGAGCAGCCACACUGGAACUGAUGCACGGUCCAGACUCCUACGGGAGGCAGCAGUGGGGAAUAUUGCACAAUGGGCGCAAGCCUGAUGCAGCCAUGCCGCGUGUAUGAAGAAGGCCUUCGGGUUGUAAAGUACGUUCAGCGAGGAGGCGUUACUCGCAGAAGAAGCACCGGCUAACUCCGUGCCAGCAGCCGCGGUAAUAC